GAUGAAGAACGUAGCGAAAUGCGAUAAGUAGUGUGAAUUGCAGAAUUCAGUGAAUCAUCGAAUCUUUGAACGCACAUUGCGCCCGCCAGUAUUCUGGCGGGCAUGCCUGUUCGAGCGUCAUUUCAACCCUCAGGUCCCCCUUUUCGGAGGGGGAGACACCCUGGUGUUGGGGGACGGCAUCCUGGCCCGCUGUCUCACAGUGUGCCACGCCGCCCCCGAAAUGAAUUGGCGGCCUCGUCGCGUGCCACCCCUGCGUAGUAGCACAACCUCGCAACGGGAGCCCGACGCGGCCACUGCCGUAAAACGCCCAACUUUUACCGAGUUGACCUCGAAUCAGGUAGGAAUACCCGCUGAACUUAAGCAUAUCAAAAGCGGAGGA
Molecule: unclassified non-coding RNA, 379 nt
Filed under: soil metagenome
Description: partial contains 5.8S ribosomal RNA, internal transcribed spacer 2, and large subunit ribosomal RNA
Rfam family: 5.8S ribosomal RNA (bases 1-120)
Source: RNAcentral